Potamilus streckersoni is the source of this 73-nucleotide non-coding RNA. Lineage: Eukaryota; Metazoa; Mollusca; Bivalvia; Unionida; Unionidae. The record is from the annotation of a GenBank genome assembly.
GAUCCAGUGGCAUAGUGGUUAGAGCAUCUGCAUCGGAUGCAUGAUGUCAUGGGUUCAAUCCCCAGCCGAGUCA